RNAcentral lists this ribosomal RNA (1637 nucleotides) under metagenome. Its description in RNAcentral is "bacterial LSU rRNA". It matches the Rfam family "Bacterial large subunit ribosomal RNA", at positions 1297 to 2925 of the family's 2925-position model. The record is from RNAcentral.
CUGAUAUGAGUAACGAUAAUGCGGGUGAAAAACCCGCACGCCGGAAGUCCCAGGGUUCCUGCACGACGUUAAUCGGAGCAGGGUGAGUCGGCACCUAAGGCGAGGCUGAAGAGCGUAGUCGAUGGAAACCAGGUUAAUAUUCCUGGACUUUUUAUAAGUGGUGAAGUGGGGACGGAGAAGGCUAGAUGAGCCAGGCGUUGGUUGUCCUGGUACGUGCAUGUAGGGGGGAAGACUUGGCAAAUCCGUUUUUCUAUUAACCCUGAGGUGCGAUGUGGUUCUGACCUUUCGGGGUACAGAGAAGUCAUUAAUGCCCGGCUUCCAAGAAAAGCUGCUAGCCAUAACUUAUAGAGAACCGUACCGGAAACCGACACAGGUGGACAGGUAGAGAAUACUAAGGCGCUUGAGAGAACUCGGGUGAAGGAACUAGGAAAAUGGUACCGUAACUUCGGGAGAAGGUACGCCCUUUUUUGUUAGUUUACUUGCUAAACGAAGCGAAAGAGGGCCGCAGAGACCAGGUGGCUGCGACUGUUUAUUAAAAACACAGCACUCUGCUAAUUCGUAAGAAGACGUAUAGGGUGUGACGCCUGCCCGGUGCCGGAAGGUUAAUUGAUGGGGUUAUCUUCGGAGAAGCUCUUGAUCGAAGCCCCGGUAAACGGCGGCCGUAACAAUAACGGUCCUAAGGUAGCGAAAUUCCUUGUCGGGUAAGUUCCGACCUGCACGAAUGGCGUAACGAUGGCCACACUGUCUCCACCCGAGACUCAGUGAAAUUGAAAUCGCUGUGAAGAUGCAGUGUACCCGCGGCUAGACGGAAAGACCCCGUGAACCUUUACUAUAGUUUUGCACUGGACUUUGAUGAUGACUGUGUAGGAUAGGUGGGAGGCAAUGAAGUAUGCACGCUAGUGCGUAUGGAGCCGACGUUGAAAUACCACCCUGUCAUGAUUGAGGUUCUAACUUAGUCCCGUAAUCCGGGACGAGGACCGUGUAUGAUGGGUAGUUUGACUGGGGCGGUCUCCUCCCAAAGAGUAACGGAGGAGCACAAAGGUACCCUCGGUACGGUCGGACAUCGUACCAAGAGUGUAAAGGCAAAAGGGUGCUUGACUGCGAGAGUGACGGCUCGAGCAGGUACGAAAGUAGGUCUUAGUGAUCCGGUGGUUCUGAAUGGAAGGGCCAUCGCUCAACGGAUAAAAGGUACUCCGCGGAUAACAGGCUGAUACCGCCCAAGAGUUCAUAUCGACGGCGGUGUUUGGCACCUCGAUGUCGGCUCAUCACAUCCUGGGGCUGAAGCAGGUCCCAAGGGUAUGGCUGUUCGCCUUUUAAAGUGGUACGCGAGCUGGGUUUAGAACGUCGUGAGACAGUUCGGUCCCUAUCUGCCGUGGGCGUAGGAAAAUUGAGAGGAGCUGCUCCUAGUACGAGAGGACCGGAGUGGACGAACCUCUGGUGUACCGGUUGUCACGCCAGUGGCAUAGCCGGGUAGCUAAGUUCGGACGGGAUAACCGCUGAAAGCAUCUAAGCGGGAAGCCUCCCUCAAGAUGAGUUUUCCCAUGAAGCCCGUUGAAGACUACGACGUUGAUAGGCAAGGUGUGGAAGCGCAGUAAUGUGUGAAGCUAACUUGUACUAAUUGGCUGAUUGUCUUGACU